ACAGGCAAUUUAUUCUUGUGCCUUGUCGUCAAUUUGGCCCUGCGGCACAAAUUAAACAUCUCGCUUUCAUCGAUCUUUUUGUACUGCUUAUUGUGACGAUAUCGCUGAGAAAGCGAUAACGGCGAAAAUAAGGGAGUUAUAAAUUGGUUCGAGCAGACAAACCACCCUGUGCCCCGACUACAGCGACCCACAAUGGGAACUUUUGGUAUCGGAAGCCUACCCCAAAUUGGAAACACAAGGACCAUAACGCGGAGUGAAACACUCAAAAAGGCGCUAAAUACGAAAUACACCCAAUACUUCUGAAAGCCAUGUGCACUAAGUACAAGCAUACAAGCAUUAUUUUACAAAAUUAUCCAAGAUCGCUAAAGAAGUUGAAGAACAUAUCAUUGUUUAUAUGUUUGCGGCUACUCAUGGCUGCAGAAUUUGCGGCUGCGACGGAUUCAUCGGAAAACAUGUCUGGUCUGGAAUAUCUGUUUCAGCAUCUAUCUUCUUCGUCAGCUCAACUCAAGCUGCCCAGCCGAGAGUUCUCUCUGAAUGUGAAAAAAGGUUCCGAUGGCGAGCAGCCUCAAAGUUUCGGAUUUAACCUUACAAACGGAAAAUUAUUGCAGAAAAGCGGCGCUCAGAAAACUGCCGACUCGCCAAAUAAUUGUCAAUACAGAAACGAUGACGCCAUAUCCUGCUACAUUUCUAUUCUCGACUGGAAUGCCACUUACCAAGGAGAAAUCAAUCACACUGAGCUAGGGAAUGGGAACUUCAACCUCACCAUCGCUUUAAAGAAAUGGGACCUUCCACAAAAUCCUGCCCAUAUGUGGAUAUACAUGAAAUUUACCGAAACUUCU
Long non-coding RNA from Rhipicephalus sanguineus (brown dog tick), 839 nucleotides. RefSeq lists it as uncharacterized. The record is from RefSeq and is a predicted model, not a curated record. The transcript is spliced from 3 exons. Lineage: Eukaryota; Metazoa; Arthropoda; Arachnida; Ixodida; Ixodidae.